GUUGCCAGCAAGUAAUGUUGGGGACGUCAGAUGGAACGUGCCGGUGGACAAACCGGAGGAAGGUGGGGACGACGGUCAAGUCAUCAUGGCCCUUAUGUCCUGGGCUACACACGUGCUACAAUGGCCGGUACAGAGCGCAGCGAAGCCGCGAGGCAAAGCGAAUCGCAAAAAGCCGGUCUCAGUACGGAUUGGAGUCUGAAACUCGACUCCAUGAAGUUGGAAUCGCUAGUAAUCGCGCAUCAGCAUGGCGCGGUGAAUACGUUCCCGGGCCUU
This 273-nucleotide ribosomal RNA is filed under the name uncultured Spirochaeta sp. RNAcentral's name for it is "partial 16S ribosomal RNA". It matches the Rfam family "Bacterial small subunit ribosomal RNA", at positions 1114 to 1382 of the family's 1533-position model. The record is from RNAcentral. Lineage: Bacteria; Pseudomonadati; Spirochaetota; Spirochaetia; Spirochaetales; Spirochaetaceae.